UUCUCCAAAAUUAACCACAUAUUAGAACACAAAGUAAGUCUCAACAAAUACAGGAAAAUUUGUAGCAUUCUGCAUUCUAUCUGACUACAAUGGAAUAGAGAAAGAUAUCAACUGCAACACAAAUGGAUCCUUCAGUUACCCUGAGGCCAUCUGGACAAUAAAGGACAACCUCUGUA
Peromyscus eremicus (cactus mouse) is the source of this 176-nucleotide long non-coding RNA. RefSeq lists it as uncharacterized. The record is from RefSeq and is a predicted model, not a curated record. The transcript has 2 exons. Lineage: Eukaryota; Metazoa; Chordata; Mammalia; Rodentia; Cricetidae.